ACCCACAUUUGGCCCCAGCCCCUGCUCACCUGCCAAGCCAGCCUCACCUGUAUACCAAUUUUGGACGUUGGAAGAGCUCAGAAGCCCGUCUUCUGCAGUUACGGAGGAAGAAAGGUCGCUCUGAAGUCACCUGUCAUACAUUUGGUCUCGUUGACCUGGUUUUUAUAAAUGUUUUCAGAAGAAGUAAAGCCCUUUAUGAGGGAAAAUGCUGAUAAAAGAUUUGAAAUCUUGU
This 232-nucleotide long non-coding RNA is filed under the name Rattus norvegicus (Norway rat). RNAcentral's name for it is "long non-coding RNA NONRATT016734". The record is from RNAcentral. Lineage: Eukaryota; Metazoa; Chordata; Mammalia; Rodentia; Muridae.